This 76-nucleotide transfer RNA is filed under the name Candidatus Pelagibacter sp. RNAcentral's name for it is "tRNA-His". It matches the Rfam family "tRNA". From Rfam's summary of the family: Transfer RNA (tRNA) molecules are approximately 80 nucleotides in length. Their secondary structure includes four short double-helical elements and three loops (D, anti-codon, and T loops). Further hydrogen bonds mediate the characteristic L-shaped molecular structure. tRNAs have two regions of fundamental functional importance: the anti-codon, which is responsible for specific mRNA codon recognition, and the 3' end, to which the tRNAs corresponding amino acid is attached (by aminoacyl-tRNA synthetases). tRNAs cope with the degeneracy of the genetic code in two manners: having more than one tRNA (with a specific anti-codon) for a particular amino acid; and 'wobble' base-pairing, i.e. permitting non-standard base-pairing at the 3rd anti-codon position. Lineage: Bacteria; Pseudomonadati; Pseudomonadota; Alphaproteobacteria; Candidatus Pelagibacterales; Candidatus Pelagibacteraceae. The record is from RNAcentral. RNAcentral also lists the same sequence under 1 other name.
GCGGUAGUAGCUCAGUUGGUAGAGCGCCGGCUUGUGGAGCCGGAUGUCACAGGUUCGAGCCCUGUCUACCGUACCA